RNAcentral lists this ribosomal RNA (555 nucleotides) under Metalpheus paragracilis. RNAcentral describes it as "partial small subunit ribosomal RNA". It matches the Rfam family "Bacterial small subunit ribosomal RNA", at positions 620 to 1409 of the family's 1533-position model. The record is from RNAcentral. Lineage: Eukaryota; Metazoa; Arthropoda; Malacostraca; Decapoda; Alpheidae.
UGGGCGUCGGGGAUUUGUUCGGCUCGGACGGGGUGUUAUAAUUUUCUAGGGCUCGUUGUGUCGGGGGGCUGAAGGGGUGAAAUUCAUUAAGCUGCGGCGAUAUGCCGGGUCCGGUGGAUUUGCUGAACUUUUAAAGCCUCGGGAAUAAAAUAGGAUUAGAUACCCUGCUAUACCGGGGUGAGAUUAAAGGUGCUUGGGGUAUUAAGAAGUUAUGGGCUUGAAACUCACAGGAAUUGGCGGUACUUAAGUCUGGUUAGAGGAACUUGUAUACUAAACGAUAGUCCACGAGAAUCUAGCCCCUCCUUGUAAACUCAGCUUGUAUACCGCCAUUAUCAGGCAGUUUCAAGAGAAAACUGCUUUAAAAGAGGUUAGUCUAGCAAAUUAGGUCAAGGUGCAGCUUAUGGGGGGGUUAUAAUAUGGGUUACAUUGGUAUAGGAGCAAACGGAUGGGGCUCGGUAUCGGGUCUUUGAGGGUGGAUUUAAUUGUAACGGGGCGGAUCUGAAGGCGGUGAUAGGAGCUCUUAGGUAUGUACACAUCGCCCGUCGUUCUCGCUUU